UACGUAGGCAGCGAGCGUUGUUCGGAGUUACUGGGCGUAAAGGGUGUGUAGGCGGUUCUUUAAGUUUGGUGUGAAAUCUCCCGGCUCAACCGGGAGGGUGCGCCGAAUACUGAGGGACUAGAGUGCGGGAGAGGAAAGUGGAAUUCCUGGUGUAGCGGUGAAAUGCGUAGAUAUCAGGAAGAACACCCGUGGCGAAGGCGGCUCUCUGGGACGGUACUGACGCUGAGACGCGAAAGCGUGGGGAGCGAACAGG
RNAcentral lists this ribosomal RNA (253 nucleotides) under uncultured bacterium. RNAcentral describes it as "partial 16S ribosomal RNA". It matches the Rfam family "Bacterial small subunit ribosomal RNA", at positions 524 to 776 of the family's 1533-position model. The record is from RNAcentral.